This 635-nucleotide ribosomal RNA is filed under the name uncultured Actinomycetes bacterium. RNAcentral describes it as "bacterial SSU rRNA". It matches the Rfam family "Bacterial small subunit ribosomal RNA", at positions 234 to 885 of the family's 1533-position model. Lineage: Bacteria; Bacillati; Actinomycetota; Actinomycetes. The record is from RNAcentral.
CGCCUGGGGAGUACGGGUGAGGUAACGGCUCACCAAGGCAUCGACGGGUAGCUGGUCUGAGAGGAUGAUCAGCCACACUGGGACUGAGACACGGCCCAGACUCCUACGGGAGGCAGCAGUAGGGAAUAUUGCACAAUGGGCGAAAGCCUGAUGCAGCAACGCCGCGUGCGGGAAGAAGGCCCUAGGGUUGUAAACCGCUUUCAGCAGGGAAGAAAAUGACGGUACCUGCAGAAGAAGGUGCGGCCAACUACGUGCCAGCAGCCGCGGUGACACGUAGGCACCAAGCGUUGUCCGGAUUUAUUGGGCGUAAAGAGCUCGUAGGCGGUUCAGUUAGUCGGGUGUGAAAACUCUGGGCUCAACCCAGAGACGCCACUCAAUACUGCUGUGACUAGAGUGCGGUAGGGGAGCGGGGAAUUCCUAGUGUAGCGGUGAAAUGCGCAGAUAUUAGGAGGAACACCAGUGGCGAAGGCGGCACUCUGGGCCGGUACUGACGCUGAGGAGCGAAAGCAUGGGGAGCAAACAGGAUUAGAUACCCUGGUAGUCCAUGCCGUAAACGUUGGGCACUAGGUAUGGGAUCAUAUCAACGGAUUCCGUGCCGUAGCUAACGCAUUAAGUGCCCCGCCUGGGGAGUACGG